CCACCAAAUUUAAGAUGCCAUUCUUCCUCAUGCACAAAAGAUUUUUACGUGAUGUUUUCUCCACACAAAAGAGCCUUCUACCCUCCCUUUCUCAUGUCCAAAAUUGGAUGUAAUCUGGUCUUUAUGGUAGGUUCAAAUAUGAUUUGAUUGGUUAUCAUAUGAAUAAUGUUUGACCUUUAUCUAUAAGACCUUGCCGCCCUUCCUUCUUUUCCUCUUAGUCUAUGUGAAAAUAUGGAGGAUUUCAUUGUGGGAAAUCAGAUAGGGAUC
Molecule: long non-coding RNA, 267 nt
Filed under: Elaeis guineensis (African oil palm)
Lineage: Eukaryota; Viridiplantae; Streptophyta; Magnoliopsida; Arecales; Arecaceae
Description: long non-coding RNA (EGUI_LNC037178)
Source: RNAcentral